GAGACGGUAUGUUUGUCGAUUUGUGGAAUAUAUCUAUGAUAGCUAUAUCGAACUUAAAAACUAAUUUGCUCCUUUUAUAAUUAAUUUGUUGGAUUUUUUACACUUUCCUCCGCUCUGUCUCUGACUGUGCGCAUGUGUUUGUGUGUCGGGAGCGAGCGCAGCCCUGAAAUCCUGCCUGAAAUUUUCCAUGCUACUAUUACUACUAGUAGUGUGGCAUUUCCGCGGGCUCCGUUGGCAGCGCGCAGUGUUUGCAGUGCAGUGCACAGGGAAGGCGGGAGAUGGGUAACACUGGGAGAGAAUGUUUGUCAAUCUAUGAUAGCUAUAUCGAACUUAAAAACUAAUUUACGGAUAUAUAUCCGUUAGUUUGUGCUCACAUUUAGGAUACUAGUAAGCCAAUCAGUCGCCUCAGUCACGACCUCGGGAAUUUGAGAGAAAGCAGGUGGAUGGAUCUGUAGUUCAGCAGGAAGUGUGAGGGGAACGACCAACAGAGGACCACAAUCAAGUUUUGUGAUCCAGAAAGCCUUUCCAGCACUGAUCCCUAACAUGAAUAAGCUGACAGUCAUCGUUUUGCUGCUGUGUACAGCUAGACUCACUCUGUGCUUUCCAGCAAGUCAUGGUGGAAACAGUUCUGCUGAUGUUACAGAUGGAAACAGUUCUGAACAGGUGUUUUUCUGCAAGGAUCCAGGUUGUGCCGAUAAUUUGACUUCUGUAUAUUGUGACGACAAGUCGAUGCUAACCAAUUCCAGUAGCAUUCCAGUUUGUACAGUCCCUCUACUGCCCAAUACUGUCUGCCAGCAUGACGGUCGGGCAUUCAUUUCCACUAAUUCAGGGAAGGGCUGUGAAUUUGAAAGGAACGUCCUUAUUGAGACCAUAAAAUGUACAGACCAGAUCAGCAUUUGUAAUUUUACGAGAGUUACUGCAUCAUCAGGAGUCACCACAGAGGCAACGCCAAAGGAACAAUCAACCACUAAACGCAUCAGUAUCUGUGUGAUAGUAGGACUAGUAGGACUAGUAGGACUAGCAGUAAUCUUAUGUCCGAUUGUAUAUUGGUGGAUAAGGAAACGAAACAGAGAGCGAAAUCGAAACCAGCCAGAAAGGUAA
This 1101-nucleotide long non-coding RNA is filed under the name Cottoperca gobio. RNAcentral's name for it is "lncRNA (ENSCGOG00000006360.1)". Lineage: Eukaryota; Metazoa; Chordata; Actinopteri; Perciformes; Bovichtidae. The record is from RNAcentral.